This 114-nucleotide non-coding RNA is filed under the name Geodermatophilus nigrescens. RNAcentral's name for it is "SAM-IV sequence". It matches the Rfam family "SAM (S-adenosyl methionine) riboswitch aptamer". Rfam says of the family: SAM-IV is a mRNA element that regulates gene expression via direct sensing of S-adenosylmethionine (SAM or AdoMet). SAM-IV riboswitches share conserved nucleotide positions with the previously described SAM-I riboswitches sequence analysis and molecular recognition experiments suggest that SAM-I and SAM-IV riboswitches share similar ligand binding sites, but have different scaffolds. Lineage: Bacteria; Bacillati; Actinomycetota; Actinomycetes; Geodermatophilales; Geodermatophilaceae. The record is from Rfam by way of RNAcentral.
GGUCACGAGUGCCAGCGCGAAGCCCCGGCUCGCUGGCCGGCAACCCUCCUCCGCGAUGGGGUGCCCCGGGUGACGACCAGGCGGCUGCCGUCCGGCAGUCCGCAAGCGCGGACC